UGGGGAAUAUUGCACAAUGGGCGCAAGCCUGAUGCAGCCAUGCCGCGUGUGUGAAGAAGGCCUUCGGGUUGUAAAGCACUUUCAGCGGGGAGGAAGGCGAUAAGGUUAAUAACCUCAUCGAUUGACGUUACCCGCAGAAGAAGCACCGGCUAACUCCGUGCCAGUAGCCGCGGUAAUACGGAGGGUGCAAGCGUUAAUCGGAAUUACUGGGCGUAAAGCGCACGCAGGCGGUCUGUCAAGUCGGAUGUGAAAUCCCCGGGCUCAACCUGGGAACUGCAUUCGAAACUGGCAGGCUAGAGUCUUGUAGGGGGGGGUAGAAUUCCAGGUGUGGCGGUGAAAUGCGUAGAGAUCUGGAGGAAUACCGGUGGCGAAGGAGGCCCCCUGGACAAAGACUGACGCUCAGGUGCGAAAGCGUGGGGAGCAAACAGG
Molecule: ribosomal RNA, 429 nt
Filed under: Chloroflexota bacterium
Lineage: Bacteria; Bacillati; Chloroflexota
Description: Chloroflexi bacterium partial 16S ribosomal RNA
Rfam family: Bacterial small subunit ribosomal RNA
Source: RNAcentral